GAUGAACGCUAGCUACAGGCUUAACACAUGCAAGUCGAGGGGAAACGAUAGGGAAAGCUUGCUUUCCUUAGGCGUCGACCGGCGCACGGGUGAGUAACGCGUAUCCAACCUGCCCAUGUCUGGGGAAUAACCCGUCGAAAGGCGGACUAACUCCCCAUGGUCUCCGAUGAGGACAUCCGAAUUGGAGUAAAGCUUCGCGGACAUGGAUGGGGAUGCGUCUGAUUAGGUAGUAGGCGGGGUAACGGCCCACCUAGCCUACGAUCAGUAGGGGUUCUGAGAGGAAGGUCCCCCACAUUGGAACUGAGACACGGUCCAAACUCCUACGGGAGGCAGCAGUGAGGAAUAUUGGUCAAUGGACGAGAGUCUGAACCAGCCAAGUAGCGUGCAGGAUGACGGCCCUAUGGGUUGUAAACUGCUUUUGUUGGGGAGUAAAGUGAGGCACGCGUGCCUUUUUGCAUUUACCCUUCGAAUAAGGACCGGCUAAUUCC
RNAcentral lists this ribosomal RNA (488 nucleotides) under uncultured rumen bacterium. RNAcentral's name for it is "bacterial SSU rRNA". It matches the Rfam family "Bacterial small subunit ribosomal RNA", at positions 28 to 504 of the family's 1533-position model. The record is from RNAcentral.